Molecule: ribosomal RNA, 253 nt
Filed under: uncultured bacterium
Lineage: Bacteria
Description: partial 16S ribosomal RNA
Rfam family: Bacterial small subunit ribosomal RNA
Source: RNAcentral
UACGUAGGGGGCAAGCGUUGUCCGGAAUCAUUGGGUGUAAAGAGCGUGUAGGCGGCUCGAUAAGUCUGCUGUGAAAGUCCAGGGCUCAACCCUGGAAGGCCGGUGGAAACUGUCGGGCUAGAGUCCGGAAGAGGCGAGUGGAAUUCCCGGUGUAGCGGUGAAAUGCGCAGAUAUCGGGAGGAACACCAAUGGCGAAGGCAGCUUACUAGACUGUAACUGACGCUGAGGCACGAAAGCGUGGGGAGCGAACAGG